This 761-nucleotide ribosomal RNA is filed under the name Prevotella melaninogenica. RNAcentral describes it as "bacterial SSU rRNA". It matches the Rfam family "Bacterial small subunit ribosomal RNA", at positions 28 to 776 of the family's 1533-position model. The record is from RNAcentral. Lineage: Bacteria; Pseudomonadati; Bacteroidota; Bacteroidia; Bacteroidales; Prevotellaceae.
GAUGAACGCUAACUGCAGGCUUAACACAUGCAAGUCGAGGGGAAACGGCAUUUAGUGCUUGCACUGAAUGGACGUCGACCGGCGCACGGGUGAGUAACGCGUAUCCAACCUACCCAUUACUGUGGGAUAACCUGCCGAAAGGCAGACUAAUACCGCAUAGUCUUCGAUGACGGCAUCAGAUUUGAAGUAAAGAUUUAUCGGUAAUGGAUGGGGAUGCGUCUGAUUAGCUUGUUGGCGGGGUAACGGCCCACCAAGGCGACGAUCAGUAGGGGUUCUGAGAGGAAGGUCCCCCACAUUGGAACUGAGACACGGUCCAAACUCCUACGGGAGGCAGCAGUGAGGAAUAUUGGUCAAUGGGCGCGAGCCUGAACCAGCCAAGUAGCGUGCAGGAUGACGGCCCUAUGGGUUGUAAACUGCUUUUGUAUGGGGAUAAAGUCAAUCACGUGUGAUUGUUUGCAGGUACCAUACGAAUAAGGACCGGCUAAUUCCGUGCCAGCAGCCGCGGUAAUACGGAAGGUCCGGGCGUUAUCCGGAUUUAUUGGGUUUAAAGGGAGCGUAGGCCGGAGAUUAAGUGUGUUGUGAAAUGUAGACGCUCAACGUCUGACUUGCAGCGCAUACUGGUUUCCUUGAGUACGCACAACGUUGGCGGAAUUCGUCGUGUAGCGGUGAAAUGCUUAGAUAUGACGAAGAACUCCGAUUGCGAAGGCAGCUGACGGGAGCGCAACUGACGCUUAAGCUCGAAGGUGCGGGUAUCGAACAGG